AUAUAUAUAGUUUAAAAAAAAACAUUACAUUUUCAUUGUAAAAAUAAAAUAAUUUUUUUAUAUAUA
RNAcentral lists this transfer RNA (66 nucleotides) under Symbrenthia lilaea. RNAcentral's name for it is "tRNA-Glu". The record is from RNAcentral. Lineage: Eukaryota; Metazoa; Arthropoda; Insecta; Lepidoptera; Nymphalidae.